GACGCCCGGGCCCCCGGACCGCCCGCUGGACGAGCCGGGAGGACGGGACCGGCAGGGGGAGGUGUGACCGCCGCCCCGGCCGCCCCCUCUUGCGCCCCGGCGGCCGUCGGAGGUCGAAGCCUGCUUCGUCGGUCAGUGCAGUCAGGGGUCAAUGGGAAAAUAAUUCAGAGCAAAACCCGGAGCGGGAGUUUUGCCCCCGGGUCAGCGGGAAGCCGGUCCUGUUAUUUUAAGUAGCGACUUGCAGGGAUGCUGUGAAUAAUGGUGUCAGAAAACUUUUCCUAAGUCCACGUUACUGAAGCCAGUGUGAUUUGGACCUUUGAGGGAGUGAUUUCAAAAAGUUAGAUGUUUGUUUCCGUGAUUUAAUGUUCAAAAUAAGGGCGUGAUUUUAUGAGAGCAAUUUGCGUUGGAGUUUUAGCCACAUAUCUUCAAUAACAGAGGAUGAAAAUCUUCCGCUUCCAGCUUCCCUGAUUUGCAUAUGAAUCAAGAUUAAUAAACAUUUAAAAAGUGUAGGAGAAGCUAUAAAAUUGGCUUACGGCCUGGUGAUGCACAGGACUGAGCCAAAAGUCAUCUUGUCCCCAAUAAACUAAUCAUACUGCAGCUGAAGAGAAACUUAAGAUGGGGAGCUCUGGCAGAAAAAGUGUUCUGGCCCGUGUGCAAUGACGCCGUUCUCUCUGCCAAGGGAUCAAGUUAAAAUCUGCUUUCCUGGAAACCAGCUAAUGUCUUUAGGAAGCAUGACCCUAGUUAGGGAGAGAUUGGGACCGUUGGAUAAAGAAGGGAUAGGAAAAUAUUUUUCAGCUUUCGCUGAUAUAGUAACUUACAAGGAUAAAAUAUGAACACCGCCCUAGCCCGUUUAGCUCAGUGGAUAGAGCGUUAGCGUGCGGAAUAAAGGGUUCGGUUCCAGCCAAGGGCACAUGCGCAGGUUGUGGGCUCGAUCCCCAGUAGGGGGUGUGCAGGAGGCAGCCAAUCAAUGAUUCUCUAUCAUCAUUGAUGUUUCUGUCUCCCCUCCUCUUUGAAAUCAAUAAAGAAAUAUAUUUUUAAAAUAAAUAAAUAAAAUAUGAGCACCAACAAAUAAUUUAAAAAUGGAAUCUCCUGUUUCUGAGAUCUAAACUCAGGAUCACAGACUUGAUAAGGUCUUCCUUGAAUCUUAGGUAAUUCUAAAGUGUUUUCAACAACAUGUCAAGGAGACAACAAACAUAUAUCUCACAUUCCACAGGAUAUAUAGGGAAAGGGACAUAAGCAUAACACAAUUGAUUUCCUAUUGCCCCUCGGGAAUUUGGGGGUUGUGAGAAGUUCUGUAAAAUCCAGGAAGCCCAGGACAUUAUUAUAGUCCAUUAUUAACAUGGCUAAGGGAAAAAGAAUGAAAUUUGGGGUGGGGUUAGGAACCUGAGUUAUGUGCCUAGAUAGGCCCUGACUCACUCUGCGAUGAUGGCCAGACACUUCCUGGCUCAGUGUUCCAGGCCCCCUUUCCCCCAGCCCCUUCGCCUGCCCAAGUGAAAUAAAAUAAUAAUUUUAUUCUUUCUUAAGAAAGUUAAACCUGAUUGUUUCUAUAAAGCACUCUGGAAAAUAGCCAGCCUCUGAGUGUAGCAAUGUGAGAUGAUUUUAUUCAUUUUAUAACCAAUGUCCUGGGUGAUACCUAAACCAUGAGGGCUAUAAACUUCUUUAUUUUUGUUGGAAUCCUCAGUUGGGGAGGAAAUACAUAGGUGUUCCACUUCCUCUUCUCUUCUGUCUGUUCUGUCUUCUGGGAAUGACACUGUUGUGUUGCUAAAAGGUCCGCGGGGAGAUAUUUGGGAGAUAACUGGGUAACACCCAACUAGGUCAGGGAAUGAGUCAGGGCUCAAGGACUCGAUACCAACCUCUCCCACUCCUGCCAGGAAACCUCCUGGGGUGAGACAGAGAUGAGAAGGGAGCCAAGGGGCGGGCCUCACGGCUGCCUGCCCUGGGGCCUCUGGCUGGCUGUUUCACCCUGGUUUGCCCUGCAGCUGGACUGUGUCUGCUGACGUGCAAGCCGUGACACACUCUCUCUCCCUCUCUCCUGAACCUCUGCUCAGUCUCAGAAACAGAUGGCCCAUCCCACCCCACAAGUGACUCUAAGAGAGAUGAGAAGGAAGGGGAAGAACCGAACCAGGUGGAGAUCUAUCCCGUCAGAAAACAGGGCAAAAUACAAGAGACAUUUGUCUAGGAGGUGAAGAGGAAGUAGAAACUGCAUUCUCCUCUGACGAAUCAGGAUAAGAACAGAAGAGCAUCGUUGCAGGGCUGACACAGAUGAUAGAACAGGAUUGAGAGCUAAGGCUGAGAAGGACCAAGUAAUAUUAGCCUGAAAUCCUGUAAGACUCAAGAGCAAAAUGGCAAAAAAAAUAAAUAGUCACAAUUCUUGUUUGGAGGUCCUCAGCUCUUGCAAAUCCAUCUCUCUUUCAUCACCAUCAACCCCAGUUGGUGGCAAUUCUUAGACCUCUCCUCCAGGACAAAAAACAAAACCAUUUUAGGCACCUAAUGUCUACCAGUCACACGUUUCCAUAAAUGAUUUCACGUAGUAGUGCUCACAACA
Long non-coding RNA from Myotis lucifugus (little brown bat), 2545 nucleotides. RefSeq lists it as uncharacterized. The transcript is spliced from 3 exons. NCBI's taxonomy places the organism in Eukaryota, Metazoa, Chordata, Mammalia, Chiroptera, Vespertilionidae. The record is from RefSeq and is a predicted model, not a curated record.